UUUGGAAGAAGCUUAGUUGUUCUUAGGACUACGUUCACAGCGCAGCCAAUUCCGACAUGGAUGUCGGAAUAGAUGCAAACAGCCAUGGAUGGCUGAUUUUGCAUCGGUGGCGGACAUUAUCAAUAGGUAUGCCGGAGCCCUUAGAACACCUUGCUUCGCACAAU
This is a regulatory RNA element of Firmicutes bacterium CAG:882, 164 nucleotides long. NCBI's taxonomy places the organism in Bacteria, Bacillati, Bacillota. The record is from Rfam.